GAAAAGAUUAUUAUUAUUAUUAUUUUUCUUCGCUCAGUGAAUUGGCUUUUUGAGGGCUUUAACAUGCUCAAAAAGUUUCUAAAGUGUACAGUAAAUUAGAAAUGUGCGCAAGUUUACGUAUUCUGAAGUAUUUGGGAACGGGUGUGUCAAAACCGCUCAAUAGCGCCACCUACGGAAAAGCCCCUCAUUUCGCAUUCACCGAUCCUCAAAAAAAACAAAGACUAUUGUGUAUCUUGACUAGAUGCACAAAAAAGUCCAUCAGUGCAUUAUGAAUAACGCAACAGGAAGCCCGCCAGUUUGACUUUAGUGGCCAUUUUGGUCAUAUUCGAUAUUUUUUCUUUUAAGUACUCCUCCUACAGCUUUCAUCAAAUCAACUUACAAUUUAGACGAUCGUCAUCACAACAAAAUGGAGAUCUAAAGUUAUUGAAGGAUUAAGUUUUCGCAAAACCGUCUGACCGUGGUGUGGCCUCAAAGUUUGAUUAAACGCCAUCAAAACACGGGCUCCUGUAUCUUGGACAUAUUUUGUCCAAUCGAGUCCAAACUAUACACAUAAGACAAGAGUCGCGACCUGAAGACAUCGGUACAGAAAUCGUGACUUAAAAUCACAGCGUCCCCUGGUGGCAACAGGAAAUGUUUUUUUUUUAUACGUCUUACACUUUGAUUUACUUGUCGUAGGGCCUUCAUCAGGUCAACUUAAAAAUUACAUGAGUCUCCUCAAGACAACAUGAAGAUGUAAAGUUAUCAAAAAAAACACUUUUCACCACACCGUCUGACCGUGGCGUGCCCUUAAAAUUUGAUGAAUAACAUUAAAACACGGCCUUCUGUAUCUUGGACAUAUUUUGUCCAAUCGAGUCCAAACUAUACACAUAAGACAAGAGUCGCGAUCGGAAGACAUCUACCUAGAAAUCAUGACUUAAAAGGACAGCGCCCCCUGGGGGCAUUAGGAAAUGUCUUGUUUUGGUAGGUGUUACUCUUUGAUCUAUUUCUCCCCAGCCACUGUGCUAAACCAUGUCAAACUUUGUCACAUGGGUCUCAAGAUAUUGAUAAUGUAGGCAUAAUAUUACUGUGACUUUUCAUCAUGCGGAUUGUUAAUGGCGGGGCAUCAAAGUUCAUCAGCUCACCAUGACAAACGAAAUUCAUUUUAACGGAGUUACCAUGAACGCAUCAUUAGACCGCAUUGUUUUGGUCAACUCACACCUGGAGUUAUUUCUAUUCAGCCACUUUGCGAAACCAUUUCAAACUGUGUGAAAUGGGUCUCAAGAUAUUGAUAGUGUAGGCAUAAGAUUGCUGUGACUUUUCAUCAUGAUGAUUAACUGCUUGGCAGCUGAGGUCAUCAUCUCGACAUGAAAAACGAAACGCAAUUUAACACAGCUGCAAGUGAACGCAUCAUGACAAUCUCCUUCAGUAAGAGCUGAGUCUGUGGUGACGGUCCACUCACACAUCGAAUCAGUAGCACAGUUUGCUGUUCUGCUUGUUCAUCUGACGGACACGUAAAAGGCGACCGCUCUCUCGUUUCUGUGGAUGUCCAGCGUGAGACACAACUUGAAUCCAACCAGACUGAACACUGACUCCAGGGACAGACGAGCCUGAAGGACACAGCUGUGAUGACCAUGUUCUGUCUCUUAUGACAAAGCAGAAAUAUAAAACACUGGGUUCUUAUCUAAAGUGUAUCAAAUCAGAUCUCCACCAUGUUGCUGCUGAGGACAUCAGGUGCUGCAGUUCUUCAUCUAUGAAGAUGAAAAAACUCACUGUUAAAGAAUGUUUUGUGUUGUGUAUGAAGCACAACAGAUUUCAGAUAGAACCGUUGUACUGUGGUCUUGGUUUGUAUCCUCAUGGUUAAAUGUACAUAUUUUACGUCCCUUCUGAUAAAAGUACUGAAAGAAAUACAACAUUGUAUAAAUAGAUAAAAUGUCUUUCUACCUCAUCAGUAAUAUUCAAGGUGAUAAUCUCCCACAGAGCUAUUGAUAGAAGUCCACAUCAAGUCUCUCGACUUCUCUCAGUGUGAAAACAUAAUUAUAUCAUUAAUUUGAGAACUGUUUACAACACUGAUGUUUGGAGAUUAAAAAUCAUAUCUAAACUGUCUAAUUCACUGUAAAACUCCAUGACAUUCGCAGGCCAUCUGUACUUAAAAGACGAACCUGGAUUGAUCUGUCCAAAAAUCCAAAAGUCUCCCUACCCUCUCUAGUGCCCCUGAGCAAGGCACCUCACUCCCCAAACAUCUGCUCCCCGAGCGCCGUACAUGGUCGCUGACUGCUCUGUGUGUCCUGCACCAGAUGGUAAAAAGCAGAGAUUAAAUUUCCCUACCUGCAUGAGUGUGCCUUUGCAUGUCUGUGCAUUUGUUUGGGACGAAUAAAUGGAUCUUAAUCUUAAUCUUUUAAUCUUGAUCAGUUGUCUUCCAGUUGACCAGCAUGACGCUGCAGAUCUCCACCAUGUUGCUGCUGAGGACAUCAGGAGCUGCAUUAAUGAGGAGCAGAAGCGCACUGUUAUGAAUGUUUUGUGUUGUGUAUGAAGCACCACAUAUUUCAGAUAGAACCAAUGUACUGGGGUCUGGGUUUGUAUCCUAAUGGUUAAAUGCACAUACUUUAAAUCGCUUUUGAUAAAACGUGAGAAAGAAAUACAACAUUAUACACAUAGAUAAAAUGUCUUUCUACCUCAUCUGUAAUAUUCAAGGUGAUGAUCUCCCACAGAGCUGUUGAUAACAGUCCACAUCAAGUCUCUCCACUUCCCUCAGUGUGAAAACAUAAUUAUAUAAUUAACUGGAGAAGUGUUUACAACACUGAUGUGUGGACAUUAUAAUCUUAUCUAUACUGUCUAAUUGACUCUACAACUCCAUGACAGACUAAAUUAACAAUGUGAAAAUAGUAAUGGUGGAUAUAUCAGCCUGUAUCAGAAUAAUGGUGAAACAGUUAUUAUCACAUGCAACGUACACGUGUAGCGUAUUGAUAGUAACUUAUUAAAAAAAUAAAUAAAGUCACAACCAAAACAAGA
This is a long non-coding RNA of Pleuronectes platessa (European plaice), 2988 nucleotides long. RefSeq lists it as uncharacterized. The transcript is spliced from 3 exons. Lineage: Eukaryota; Metazoa; Chordata; Actinopteri; Pleuronectiformes; Pleuronectidae. The record is from RefSeq and is a predicted model, not a curated record.